UUUUUUUCGUUUUUUUUU
This 18-nucleotide small RNA is filed under the name Arabidopsis thaliana (thale cress). Its description in RNAcentral is "ATSL122720". Lineage: Eukaryota; Viridiplantae; Streptophyta; Magnoliopsida; Brassicales; Brassicaceae. The record is from RNAcentral.